Long non-coding RNA from Austrofundulus limnaeus, 667 nucleotides. RefSeq lists it as uncharacterized. The transcript has 3 exons. The record is from RefSeq and is a predicted model, not a curated record. Lineage: Eukaryota; Metazoa; Chordata; Actinopteri; Cyprinodontiformes; Rivulidae.
UGCCCCCCUCCUCGYCCCCCACCCCCAAAAGGACUGUGUCUAUCAAACUAUCAGUGGAAUGUCGAACCAGGCCUCUGGGGCCCACACGCGCUGCAGCACUCAGCACCUGUCUCUGACUGACAGCACAGAGAAAGAGACGCGGUCAAUCACAUCGGACAGCACGGCAAAAGGGAAAAGGCAGAGGGGAGCGGGAGGUAUGCCACUUUUACUUACCACGGCUGAGUCAAGAAAAGCUCUGACGAAGCAUCAGUGCCCUCCGCUGCUCUAGGCCGAAAGGCUGCASUGACCCGGGGGACUGGAAGUCAAUGAAAUCAGCCUAAUUUAGCCUCCGCUGCUCCACAAGCUGCCAGGAAUCAGAGUGCACGUCCUUGCCUUUUUAAGACUCCUUGGACACUGCAGUCUGCAAGAAGCUCUGCUGCAUUUCCAACUACAUAAUGGAGACAGAGAGAAGAGAUCCUGAGAGAUGCAAGGGGAGUGACAAUGAAAAGUGUGUUUAUGGAUGUGCCAUUUAAGUUAUUGUCCAGGUUUAAAAGUCACAGCACAACUUGGAACCAUGAAAAUAUCAUCAUUACCACAUCAUUGGGACAGGUGGAUGUGCUCUGUGAUGAGGAAGCUCGGUUUGGAGACACAGCCCAGAGGAGGAGCUCGUCCCAAAAGGCGGUUCUAG